ACGGUGGUAGUGCAACGGUUCAGCACAUGCCCCCGAAAAAGUGAAAUCUGGGUUCGAAUCCCAGCUGCCGCA
Non-coding RNA from Parelaphostrongylus tenuis, 72 nucleotides. NCBI's taxonomy places the organism in Eukaryota, Metazoa, Nematoda, Chromadorea, Rhabditida, Metastrongylidae. The record is from the annotation of a GenBank genome assembly.